RNAcentral lists this transfer RNA (61 nucleotides) under Ricinus communis (castor bean). It matches the Rfam family "tRNA", at positions 1 to 61 of the family's 71-position model. Rfam says of the family: Transfer RNA (tRNA) molecules are approximately 80 nucleotides in length. Their secondary structure includes four short double-helical elements and three loops (D, anti-codon, and T loops). Further hydrogen bonds mediate the characteristic L-shaped molecular structure. tRNAs have two regions of fundamental functional importance: the anti-codon, which is responsible for specific mRNA codon recognition, and the 3' end, to which the tRNAs corresponding amino acid is attached (by aminoacyl-tRNA synthetases). tRNAs cope with the degeneracy of the genetic code in two manners: having more than one tRNA (with a specific anti-codon) for a particular amino acid; and 'wobble' base-pairing, i.e. permitting non-standard base-pairing at the 3rd anti-codon position. Lineage: Eukaryota; Viridiplantae; Streptophyta; Magnoliopsida; Malpighiales; Euphorbiaceae. The record is from Rfam by way of RNAcentral.
GGGUGUAUAGCUCAGUUGGUAGAGCAUUGGGCUUUUAACCUAAUGGUCGCAGGUUCGCCUU